This is a long non-coding RNA of Clarias gariepinus (North African catfish), 203 nucleotides long. RefSeq lists it as uncharacterized. The transcript is spliced from 3 exons. Lineage: Eukaryota; Metazoa; Chordata; Actinopteri; Siluriformes; Clariidae. The record is from RefSeq and is a predicted model, not a curated record.
ACAACAACAACAAAAGAAAAAUUAACUCCUGGAUAUGUUUAAUAGUGAAGGAGCAUUGCUUAAGUUCCUGUCACCACCACCACCUCAGGGAGAUACCCCAGUCCAUCCUUCUGACAGUGAAAAUGGAGCAUUGCUUAAGUCCCUAUCACCACUGCCUCAGACAGAAGAUACCCCUGACAGUCUCCUGACAGUGAAAAUGGUAG